AUUCUGUGUCCAGGACUUCGGGCCCUCUGUGAGCCUCUGUCCGCCAAGGCGAUGGAGCUGUGUUUGGAGUCCCUCGUCUUUGGCAGCGGCUGGGGCCAAAGCCCGGGCAAGACCAACGCCUUCGGCACCCGGACUCAGGCUCCGUCCUCUCUGCCAGCGUGCGGCUACAAUGACUCGACAUGGCAGGCCACUGCCUUCAGAGAAGGUGACAGAGGGCCAUGUCUGAAACAUUCUCCCACAACCAGGAACCCUCAGCAGCCGCUGAAGAGGAAAGGCAGUUAAAUGGAAAGACUUCUGAGCAAGUGGAGGAAAAGUCACGUGUGACCUAGGGAGGGGCUCCCACAGGAAGGGGCAAUGCCCUUGCCCUGUUCACCUAGCCUCCAGGUGGCUUCCCACUUGAAAUUUCAGAGGAUGGCAGAAACCUACUUACAAGGAAAUGAAAGAGGGCACAGCAACCUUAAGACCAGAGCAGCCCACGAUAUUUUUUAAUGAGGGCAAAAAUAGAAGACUUGCAAAAGACCCCUGAAAAUAAUGCCUGGAAGCUGCGAAACAUCAGACUGACACCGCACAAAAGAGGUCCAGCUGAGCAGGAGAAAAGCUUGAGAAGCAUCCAGAACAAUGUAGGUGGAGAGGCUAAGAAGAAAGAGGAGCCCACAUGGAAUGAAUAACCAAGGUCGGGACAGAGGAAGGUUCGCCAGAACUGGGAGGGCUGAAAUUGGACAUUGAGAUAAAUUAAAGAGUGUUCUUUAAAACUGU
This 756-nucleotide long non-coding RNA is filed under the name Homo sapiens (human). RNAcentral's name for it is "HSALNT0314370". Lineage: Eukaryota; Metazoa; Chordata; Mammalia; Primates; Hominidae. The record is from RNAcentral.